RNAcentral lists this ribosomal RNA (525 nucleotides) under uncultured Acidobacteriota bacterium. Its description in RNAcentral is "bacterial SSU rRNA". It matches the Rfam family "Bacterial small subunit ribosomal RNA", at positions 381 to 896 of the family's 1533-position model. Lineage: Bacteria; Pseudomonadati; Acidobacteriota. The record is from RNAcentral.
CCCUGACGAAGCAACGCCGCGUGGAGGAUGAAGGCCUUCGGGUCGUAAACUCCUGUCGACCGGGACGAGAGUAGUCCGACCCAAUACGUCGGGCUAUCGACUGUACCGGUGGAGGAAGCCACGGCUAACUCUGUGCCAGCAGCCGCGGUAAUACAGAGGUGGCAAGCGUUGUUCGGAAUUACUGGGCGUAAAGGGCGCGUAGGCGGUCGGGAAAGUCCUGUGUGAAAUCCCUCGGCUCAACUGAGGAACUGCACAGGAAACUGCUCGACUUGAGUUCGGGAGAGGGAAGCGGAAUUCCGGGUGUAGCGGUGAAAUGCGUAGAUAUCCGGAGGAACACCGGUGGCGAAGGCGGCUUCCUGGACCGACACUGACGCUGAGGCGCGAAAGCUAGGGGAGCAAACGGGAUUAGAUACCCCGGUAGUCCUAGCUGUAAACGAUGAGCGCUGGGUGUAGGGGGUCUUAACCCCCCCUGUGCCGAAGCUAACGCAUUAAGCGCUCCGCCUGGGGAGUACGGUCGCAAGGCUG